GACGAACGCUGGCGGCGUGCUUAACACAUGCAAGUCGAACGGAAAGGCCCUGCUUUUGUGGGGUGCUCGAGUGGCGAACGGGUGAGUAACACGUGAGUAACCUGCCCUUGACUUUGGGAUAACUUCAGGAAACUGGGGCUAAUACCGGAUAGGAGCUCCUGCUGCAUGGUGGGGGUUGGAAAGUUUCGGCGGUUGGGGAUGGACUCGCGGCUUAUCAGCUUGUUGGUGGGGUAGUGGCUUACCAAGGCUUUGACGGGUAGCCGGCCUGAGAGGGUGACCGGCCACAUUGGGACUGAGAUACGGCCCAGACUCCUACGGGAGGCAGCAGUGGGGAAUAUUGCACAAUGGGCGGAAGCCUGAUGCAGCAACGCAGCGUGCGGGAUGACGGCCUGCGGGUUGUGAACCGCUUUCGCCUGUGACGAAGCGUGAGUGACGGUAAUGGGUAAAGAAGCACCGGCUAACUACGUG
RNAcentral lists this ribosomal RNA (468 nucleotides) under uncultured bacterium. Its description in RNAcentral is "partial 16S ribosomal RNA". It matches the Rfam family "Bacterial small subunit ribosomal RNA", at positions 28 to 507 of the family's 1533-position model. The record is from RNAcentral.